This 253-nucleotide ribosomal RNA is filed under the name uncultured bacterium. RNAcentral describes it as "partial 16S ribosomal RNA". It matches the Rfam family "Bacterial small subunit ribosomal RNA", at positions 524 to 776 of the family's 1533-position model. The record is from RNAcentral.
UACGUAGGGUGCGAGCGUUAAUCGGAAUUACUGGGCGUAAAGCGUGCGCAGGCGGUUGUGUAAGACAGAUGUGAAAUCCCCGGGCUCAACCUGGGAACUGCAUUUGUGACUGCACAGCUGGAGUGCGGCAGAGGGGGAUGGAAUUCCGCGUGUAGCAGUGAAAUGCGUAGAUAUGCGGAGGAACACCGAUGGCGAAGGCAAUCCCCUGGACCUGUACUGACGCUCAUGCACGAAAGCGUGGGGAGCAAACAGG